Molecule: ribosomal RNA, 869 nt
Filed under: uncultured Helotiales
Lineage: Eukaryota; Fungi; Ascomycota; Leotiomycetes; Helotiales
Description: eukaryotic LSU rRNA
Rfam family: 5.8S ribosomal RNA (bases 569-722)
Source: RNAcentral
CUUGGUCAUUUAGAGGAAGUAAAAGUCGUGACAAGGUUCCCUUCCGCCGCUCAGCACGGAGACCUUGCAACCCUUAGGGGAGGCAGCACGACAGUAAACAAAGCUUGCCGUUUGCAAGUCGGCCAAUCGGCCGGCAACACAAUCGAAUUGACGGGGACCUCCUAAAGCCUGUAACACCAACCGUCCGGGGAAACUCGGGCGGGGCCCUCACGGGGUGGUAAGAGAGUACAGGAUGUAACAAUGGACAAUCCGCAGCGAAGACCCUACCGGCUCCGGCCUACGGGUACCGUUCACAGACUAAGUGAUUGUGGGCGGGGCAACCGUGCCCUGUCUAAGAUAUAGUCGGACUCUACCCGAAAGGAUAGAGGAUAGCAUGUCCGUAGGUGAACCUGCGGAAGGAUCAUUAAAGAAUGCCCCGUUUUUUGAAAUGGGUUCUAUUCCCAAACCGUGUAUACAUACCUUUGUUGCUUUGGCAGGCCGCCUUCGGGCGUCGGCUCACGCUGACCGCGCCUGCCAGAGGACCCAAACUCGUUUGUUUAGUGAUGUCUGAGUACUAUAUAAUAGUUAAAACUUUCAACAACGGAUCUCUUGGUUCUGGCAUCGAUGAAGAACGCAGCGAAAUGCGAUAAGUAAUGUGAAUUGCAGAAUUCAGUGAAUCAUCGAAUCUUUGAACGCACAUUGCGCCCCUUGGUAUUCCGAGGGGCAUGCCUGUUCGAGCGUCAUUAUGACCACUCAAGCCUAGCUUGGUAUUGGGGUUCGCGGUCUCGCGGCCCUUAAAAUCAGUGGCGGUGCCAUCUGGCUCUAGGCGUAGUAAUUUAUCUCGCUAUUGGGUCCGGUGGUUGCUUGCCAACAACCCCCAACUUCUAAGG